This 497-nucleotide ribosomal RNA is filed under the name uncultured bacterium. RNAcentral describes it as "partial 16S ribosomal RNA". It matches the Rfam family "Bacterial small subunit ribosomal RNA", at positions 28 to 507 of the family's 1533-position model. The record is from RNAcentral.
GAUGAACGCUGGCGGCGUGCCUAAUACAUGCAAGUCGAGCGAACGGACGAGAAGCUUGCUUCUCUGAUGUUAGCGGCGGACGGGUGAGUAACACGUGGAUAACCUACCUAUAAGACUGGGAUAACUUCGGGAAACCGGAGCUAAUACCGUAUAAUAUUUUGAACCGCAUGGUUCAAAAGUGAAAGACGGUCUUGCUGUCACUUAUAGAUGGAUCCGCGCUGCAUUAGCUAGUUGGUAAGGUAACGGCUUACCAAGGCAACGAUGCAUAGCCGACCUGAGAGGGGGAUCGGCCACACUGGAACUGAGACACGGUCCAGACUCCUACGGGAGGCAGCAGUAGGGAAUCUUCCGCAAGGGGCGAAAGCCUGACGGAGCAACGCCGCGUGAGUGAUGAAGGUCUUCGGAUCGUAAAACUCUGUUAUUAGGGAAGAACAUAUGUGUAAGUAACUGUGCACAUCUUGACGGUACCUAAUCAGAAAGCCACGGCUAACUACGUG